Poecilia reticulata (guppy) is the source of this 659-nucleotide long non-coding RNA. RefSeq lists it as uncharacterized. The record is from RefSeq and is a predicted model, not a curated record. NCBI's taxonomy places the organism in Eukaryota, Metazoa, Chordata, Actinopteri, Cyprinodontiformes, Poeciliidae.
CGUGGCAUAGAUUCAGUAGGUUUUGGCCGACACGACAGCAUCACUCAGUAUUUGAAGAUUUGUUGGCUGCAGAUCCAUUAUUCCACUCUGUAGCCUCCAGAAGCUGGGAACUCUGGAGUGACGAAGGGCUGGACACGGUCAGCAGCAAUACACAGCUGCUUUUGUCUCCAUGUGGGAAUUGCAAUUAUAGACKGUAAGUGCGCACUAACAAGCCACAGAGAGCGGGGAACACAUCAAGUAAAGUUUUAACAUUCAGUUUCAACUUCUGUUAAAUCAAUGAGAAAACUGGCUUUCGUUUWUUAUUAUUUAAUGUGCUUCUGCUCAGUCACUUAUUUGGGAAUAAAGGACGAAGGCAAAGAGGCAGACACUGAAAAGGUAUCUGAGGAAAAAAAAAGUUUGUUMAACUCUGAGAAAUAAACUCCUCCUGAAGCUGAUGUCUUAAAUUGUGACAACAUCAGAAACGGUUGAAGUCAAAAGCAAAAGUGAAACGAUAAAUCAUUCAGCAUGGAGCCCAUUGUGGCUUGCAAAAGUAUUCAUACCCAUUAAAAUACACUUUGAUACAAGCUUCAAAACAUCUGCAUUUUUAACCAUACAAAUUAUUAAAAUGAGAAUGUUUUGCAAAUAUACAUUUUUAAAGAAGUAUCCUAAAAAUGAAGCUA